Molecule: small nuclear RNA, 197 nt
Organism: Pseudophryne corroboree (corroboree frog)
Lineage: Eukaryota; Metazoa; Chordata; Amphibia; Anura; Myobatrachidae
Product: U2 spliceosomal RNA
Exons: 1
Source: RefSeq, a predicted model, not a curated record
AUGCCCAUCACAGCUACCAAGUGCAUGAGCAAGAUCAAGUGUUGUAUCUGUUUUUAUCAGUUUACUAUCUGAUACGCCCCCUCUCUGGGGGCCAUUUAUUAAAUGGAUUUUUAGAACAGGAAGAUGAAAAUAGAGCUUGCUCUGUCUACUCCAUGCUUUGAACUGGUGUUGCAGUACUUCCAAGAGAGGUACACAAU